UCUCUCUCUUUCUCUCUCUCUAUAUAUCUAUAUAAAUAGAGGUAUCAUUCCUUUCAAAGUCGGGAUUCAGCAUCCUGUUCGCUAUUCAGUCAAUGAAUUGGAGCUCUGAAAAUAAAUUGAAUUGAAUUCAGUUCUAAAUGCAGUACAAUCCUAGUUUUAAAACCCAUCUGUCACGCUGCUAUAGGAUCCGCUCUUCAGCAUCUCAAGCGAUGCUCAUCUCCACACUCUCAUCUGGAGUGAUGUGAAGCUAAAUCAAACAGUGAUUCUAGAGGAAGUACACACAGCCAGCAGCGUUUUGAUACGUGUCAGCGUGUCGACCUGAAGCACAGCUGGUGGUGAAGCACACGGCGAGAAUGCGGCUCUGGGCUAAAAAUAGGAGUGUUUCAUUUCUACAUGCUCUACAUGUGUAAGGUUUCCCAUGGUGAGAUGGAGAAUGAGGUCAGCAGUGAAAUAAUACAGACACCAACUUUAAAAGGAAUCAAGACUUAACAUCUCAAACACACCGACAAUCAAGUCCCAGUAGAGACUGACACAGUAUUCACAUGCAACCGACAACGUUUGGAGUUUGAUAUGAAUUCUGUAGCUUAAACACUGCUUUAAAGGUACAGUUAUAAAUGAAAAAUUUGCUUAAUUUACUCAGGCCAUCCAAGAUGACUUUUCAAUAUAUCAUCAGAAGCCGCCUGUAUGUGCUUUUUUGACUCUCAGUGACAGCAGAUGCUUAUUUACAUUUUAUGAAUCACCAAGGACCACAAUUUCAGCAAAAAAAAAAUCUUCUUUACUCUUCUACUAAAGAAAAAAAGUUAUCUAUAUCUUGGAUGACCUUACGGUGAGUAAAUUAACAGCAAAAUUUCAUUUCUGGGUGAACUAUCACUCUAAGAUUCUGAGCACUUCAGCCAAUUCAGAACUUUAGAUGUCAGUAUUUUCUCCUCAUCAGGCAUCCUGAUCCUGGAUUGCCAAAGCUCAGAUGGCCAAUAUAAGCAGCUUAAAUGGCUUUCACACUUGAUCUCCACAAACAAAAUGCUAGAUGCUGAUUGGUUCUUCUCUGUUUCAGUGGGCGGGGUAUGUAUCUAUCAGAGAGACGAGUGUCAGGGGAAAUUCUUCUUAUGCUCAUCACCUUAAACACAAGCAAUAUACUCAUAUUUAGGGAAUAAAAUGAAGUCAUCACUGUGUCCCUCCUUGACUUUGUGUGUGUGUGUGUGUGCGUGUGUUUUCUCAUAGGCAGGAUUGCACUUCCACAGACUUCACAGAUGCAAUGCAGUUGCCAAGGCAACAUCGCCAGGCAGCUGAGUGUGAGAGAAAGUGAAGGAGACUGACUUUACUCUCACGCAGAAACACAGAUACUCUUACGAGGGUUAUUUGAAGACAUCGCUUCGCUUCAUCUACUCAACAUAUUCAAUUAACCCUCUGUGUGGAGAGACUAGAUUUCACUUUUUUUCUGUUGGUGGUUGCUAAGGUGUUCAGAGUGGUUGUUAACUUUUAACACAUUUCUGUGGAGUUGCUAAACUGUUCUUUUUUUAGUGGGUUGCUAUGUAGUUGCUAGGGUGUUCUGGAUGGUUAUGGGUUUUAGUGUGUUGCUAUGUGGUUGCUAGGGUGUUCUGGGUGGUUUUGGUUUUACUGUGUUGCUAUGUUUUUCCUAAGCUGUUCUUGGUUUUUAGUACGUUGCUAUGUGGUUGCUAGGGUGUUCUGGGUGGUUUUGGUUUUAGUGUGUUGCUAUGUGGUUGCUAGGGUGUUCUUUGUUUUUAGUACGUUGCUAUGUGGUUGCUAGGGUGUUCUGGGUGGUUUUGGUUUUAGUGUGUUGGUAUGUUGUUCCUAAGCUGUUCUUUGUUUUUAGUACGUUGCUAUGUGGUUGCUAGGGUGUUCUGGGUGGUUUUGGUUUUAGUGUGUUGCUAUGUGGUUGCUAGGGUGUUCUGGGUGGUUUGGUUUUAGUUGUGUUGCUAUGUGGUUGCUAGGGUGUUCUGGG
Long non-coding RNA from Cyprinus carpio carpio, 1960 nucleotides. NCBI's taxonomy places the organism in Eukaryota, Metazoa, Chordata, Actinopteri, Cypriniformes, Cyprinidae. The record is from Ensembl.